RNAcentral lists this ribosomal RNA (462 nucleotides) under Triticum aestivum (bread wheat). RNAcentral's name for it is "partial small subunit ribosomal RNA". Lineage: Eukaryota; Viridiplantae; Streptophyta; Magnoliopsida; Poales; Poaceae. The record is from RNAcentral.
AUGUUGGUUUUACUGGGAGAUUCUGGUGUUGGGAAAAGCUGCAUUGUUCUUCGCUUUGUCCGUGGUCAGUUUGACCCCACAUCAAAGGACUCCACAACAGUGAAGUUUGAAAUAUGGGACACUGCUGGCCAGGAGAGGUAUGCUGCAUUAGCACCUCUGUACUACAGGGGAGCUGGUGCUGCAAUCGUUGUCUAUGACAUAACAAGUGCAGAAUCAUUCAUCAAAGCACAAUAUUGGGUGAAGGAACUUCAGAAACACGGUAGCCAGGAUAUGAUCAUGGCUUUGGUAGGAAAUAAGGCUGACCUACAUGAAAAACGCACUGUGUCUUCUCAGGAAGCACAGGAGCACGCGGACAUGAACAAUAUGUUUUUCGUUGAGACAUCGGCGAAAACGGCUGAUAAUAUAAACCAACUAUUCGAGGAAAUUGCCAAGAGGCUGCCGAGGCCUACACCGCCAUCCUGA